RNAcentral lists this unclassified non-coding RNA (624 nucleotides) under Hevea brasiliensis (rubber tree). The record is from RNAcentral. Lineage: Eukaryota; Viridiplantae; Streptophyta; Magnoliopsida; Malpighiales; Euphorbiaceae.
CGCGACCUGGCCGCAGCCGCUGACCAUCGCCGUCAACGUUUCGGCGGUGCAGAUCUACAACGAGAAUUUCGUGCAGCUCGUGCAUGAAGUGCUGCUGGAAACCGGCCUCGCACCCAGCCGGCUCGAACUCGAGNNNNNNCGCUGGUGCGCGAUCUCAACCGCGCGCUCACGACACUGCGGCGUAUCAAGGCGCUCGGCGUGCAUAUCGCGAUGGACGAUUUCGGCACCGGCUAUUCGUCGCUCUCCAACCUGCGCGCAUUCCCGUUCGACAAGAUCAAGAUCGACGGCUCGUUCAUCAAAUCGGUCAACACCAACGAGCAGGCCGCGACCAUCGUGCGCGCCGUGCUGGGCCUCGGCCGCGGUCUCGGUCUGCCGGUGCUUGCGGAAGGCGUCGAGACGCCGGCGGAGCUGGCGUUCCUGCAAUCGGAACUGUGCAACGAGGUUCAGGGCUAUCUGGUCGGACGCCCCGCGGCGAUCGGAACCUUCGCGACGCUCACCCACCCCGGAAGCGNNNNNNNNNGGCAACAGGCGAGGAAAUCCGCGUCCUGCUGGCGCAGUCGGCCUGAGCUUCGGAUUUGCGGUGCUUUGGAAGUGGUACAGUUGGGUGGGAUCGAACCACCGACC